GUGCCAGCCGCCGCGGUAAUACCGGCAGCCCGAGUGAUGGCCGAUCUUAUUGGGCCUAAAGCGUCCGUAGCUGGCUGCGCAAGUCCGUCGGGAAAUCCACCCGCCCAACGGGUGGGCGUCCGGUGGAAACUGCGUGGCUUGGGACCGGAAGGCUCGAGGGGUACGUCCGGGGUAGGAGUGAAAUCCCGUAAUCCCGAACGGACCACCGAUGGCGAAAGCACCUCGAGAAGACGGCUCCGACAGUGAGGGACGAAAGCCAGGGUCUCGAACCGGAUUAGAUACCCGGGUAAUC
RNAcentral lists this ribosomal RNA (292 nucleotides) under uncultured bacterium. Its description in RNAcentral is "partial 16S ribosomal RNA". It matches the Rfam family "Archaeal small subunit ribosomal RNA", at positions 455 to 746 of the family's 1478-position model. The record is from RNAcentral.